RNAcentral lists this ribosomal RNA (253 nucleotides) under uncultured bacterium. RNAcentral's name for it is "partial 16S ribosomal RNA". It matches the Rfam family "Bacterial small subunit ribosomal RNA", at positions 524 to 776 of the family's 1533-position model. The record is from RNAcentral.
UACAGAGGAUGCAAGCGUUAUCCGGAAUGAUUGGGCGUAAAGCGUCUGUAGGUGGCUUUUUAAGUCCGCCGUCAAAUCCCAGGGCUCAACUCUGGACAGGCGGUGGAAACUACCAAGCUGGAGUACGGUAGGGGCAGAGGGAAUUUCCGGUGGAGCGGUGAAAUGCGUAGAGAUCGGAAGGAACACCAGUGGCGAAGGCGACUACCUGGCCUGUUCUUGACGCUGAGGCGCGAAAGCUGGGGGAGCAAACGGG